RNAcentral lists this long non-coding RNA (491 nucleotides) under Elaeis guineensis (African oil palm). RNAcentral's name for it is "long non-coding RNA (EGUI_LNC030171)". Lineage: Eukaryota; Viridiplantae; Streptophyta; Magnoliopsida; Arecales; Arecaceae. The record is from RNAcentral.
CCCCCAUGACUGUAGCGACCUACUACUCCACAAAAUUUAUCCUCCCAUUGCCUCUACAAUUUUGAAUUCAGCCAUUUAUUUUAUUUGUUACUGUUCAUCUUGAUGAGGCAUUUAAGUAGAGAUCUCUUGCUUAAAAUAUCGAUUACUGCCUCUAUGUUGCUUUUGGUGAUCGGAUACUUCAGAAGCUUAUAUUGACUUGGCACACAUAUCCCCAACAUAGAGUAGAACUCAAGCACCCCUACUCAUUUAUCCAUUCAUUAAACCCAUAAAAACUAGGUGAUGAAACCAAGAACCUUCUUCAGUGUUGCUUUGAGAUUCAUAGAACUUACAAACUGGCCGCUUCCUCUCGAUAAUCUUCUAGCACCUUAGAGACUCAUUUGGUUCACGAGAAGAACUUUUCUUCUCAGAAAAUAAUUUUCUUGGGAAUAGGAUUUUGAUAUAUUUGGUUGAUCAUGAGAAGAUGACUUAUUAUAAAGUAGCUUAUGUUUGGA